RNAcentral lists this small RNA (422 nucleotides) under Arabidopsis thaliana (thale cress). Its description in RNAcentral is "ATSL053140". The record is from RNAcentral. Lineage: Eukaryota; Viridiplantae; Streptophyta; Magnoliopsida; Brassicales; Brassicaceae.
AUUAUUCCCAUAUUCAUAUAUCAAUCACCACCAAAAGAUUUUAGGAAAAAUUCUCGAAACAAACCCGAACUAUUUAAAAUCUGCCAGAAAACUACCUGAACUUUUUUCGUUGUCAAAAAAAUAUACAAACUAAUUUGGGUUAGAAAUAAAAAACACAAUCUAUUAUUUUUUUCCGAUUACCUCCCUUUGCCGUAACGGCCGUUAACGGCGUUAACCAAAUCGGUUAACAUUUUCAAUUUUAUUUAUAGAAAAUUUCUGGAAAAAACAUAACUUAUUUAAUAUUUGCCAAAAUAAUACCCGAACUUUUUUUCGCUGCCAGAAAUAUAUACAAACUAGUUUAAAGUUGAAAUAAAGAGUAUGAAGUAGUUUUUUGUUCCAAUUUCACUCACUUUGUCGUAAUGGUUACAAAAAGGUAACAAAAU